UUGCUUACUCAAUAAGCGGAGGAAAAGAAACCAACAGGGAUUGCCUUAGUACGGCGAGUGAGCGGCAAAGCUCAAAUUUGAAAUCUGGCACCUUCGGUGUCCGAGUUGUAAUUUGAAGAAGGUAACUUUGGAGUUAGCUCUUGUCUAUGUUCCUUGGAACAGGACGUCACAGAGGGUGAGAAUCCCGUGCGAUGAGAUGUCUAACUCUAUGUAAAGUGCUUUCGAAGAGUCGAGUUGUUUGGGAAUGCAGCUCUAAGUGGGUGGUAAAUUCCAUCUAAAGCUAAAUAUUGGCGAGAGACCGAUAGCGAACAAGUACAGUGAUGGAAAGAUGAAAAGAACUUUGAAAAGAGAGUGAAAAAGUACGUGAAAUUGUUGAAAGGGAAGGGUUUGAGAUCAGACUUGGUAUUUUGUAUGUCUUGCUUUCGGGUGGGGCCUCUGCAGUUUACUGGGCCAGCAUCGGUUUGGAUGGUAGGAUAAUGACAUUGGAAUGUGGCACUACUUCGGUGGUGUGUUAUAGACUUUGUUGAUACUGCCUGUCUAGACCGAGGACUGCGUCUUUGACUAGGAUGCUGGCAUAAUGAUCCUAAACCGCCCGUCUUGAAACGACGAGACCA
RNAcentral lists this ribosomal RNA (614 nucleotides) under Scheffersomyces tanahashii. RNAcentral describes it as "partial large subunit ribosomal RNA". It matches the Rfam family "Eukaryotic large subunit ribosomal RNA", at positions 33 to 668 of the family's 3401-position model. The record is from RNAcentral. Lineage: Eukaryota; Fungi; Ascomycota; Pichiomycetes; Serinales; Debaryomycetaceae.